Molecule: ribosomal RNA, 343 nt
Filed under: uncultured bacterium
Lineage: Bacteria
Description: bacterial SSU rRNA
Rfam family: Bacterial small subunit ribosomal RNA
Source: RNAcentral
ACUCCUACGGGAGGCAGCAGUGGGGAAUAUUGCACAAUGGGCGCAAGCCUGAUGCAGCCAUGCCGCGUGUAUGAAGAAGGCCUUCGGGUUGUAAAGUACUUUCAGCAGUGAGGAAGGCGGGUACGUUAAUAGCGUGCUCGUUUGACGUUAGCUGCAGAAGAAGCACCGGCUAACUCCGUGCCAGCAGCCGCGGUAAUACGGAGGGUGCGAGCGUUAAUCGGAAUUACUGGGCGUAAAGCGCAUGCAGGUGGUUUGUUAAGUCAGAUGUGAAAGCCCGGGGCUCAACCUCGGAAUUGCAUUUGAAACUGGCAGACUAGAGUACUGUAGAGGGGGGUAGAAUUUC